GCGGGGGUGCCCGAGCCAGGUCAAAGUGGGAACGGUCGCGACCCUGUGCCUUAGUGGCUGCGUGGGUUCAAAUCCCACCCCCCGCA
This 86-nucleotide transfer RNA is filed under the name Nanobdellota archaeon. Its description in RNAcentral is "Nanoarchaeota archaeon tRNA-Ala". It matches the Rfam family "tRNA". From Rfam's summary of the family: Transfer RNA (tRNA) molecules are approximately 80 nucleotides in length. Their secondary structure includes four short double-helical elements and three loops (D, anti-codon, and T loops). Lineage: Archaea; Nanobdellati; Nanobdellota. The record is from RNAcentral.